Molecule: ribosomal RNA, 498 nt
Filed under: uncultured bacterium
Lineage: Bacteria
Description: partial 16S ribosomal RNA
Rfam family: Bacterial small subunit ribosomal RNA
Source: RNAcentral
AGUGAACGCUGGCGGCAGGCCUAACACAUGCAAGUCGAACGGUAACAGGUCUUCGGAUGCUGGCGAGUGGCGAACGGGUGAGUAAUACAUCGGAACGUGCCCAGACGUGGGGGAUAACGAGGCGACGGCUUUGCUAAUACCGCAUACGAUCUAGGGAUGAAAGCAGGGGACCGCAAGGCCUUGCGCGGUUGGAGCGGCCGAUGGCAGAUUAGGUAGUUGGUGGGAUAAAAGCUUACCAAGCCGACGAUCUGUAGCUGGUCUGAGAGGACGACCAGCCACACUGGGACUGAGACACGGCCCAGACUCCUACGGGAGGCAGCAGUGGGGAAUUUUGGACAAUGGGCGAAAGCCUGAUCCAGCAAUGCCGCGUGCAGGAUGAAGGCCUUCGGGUUGUAAACUGCUUUUGUACGGAACGAAAAGGCUCUGGCUAAUACCUGGGGCACAUGACGGUACCGUAAGAAUAAGCACCGGCUAACUACGUGCCAGCCGCCGCGGUAA